This 1439-nucleotide ribosomal RNA is filed under the name uncultured Pseudomonadota bacterium. Its description in RNAcentral is "bacterial SSU rRNA". It matches the Rfam family "Bacterial small subunit ribosomal RNA". The record is from RNAcentral. Lineage: Bacteria; Pseudomonadati; Pseudomonadota.
UAACACGUGCAAGUCGAACGAGAAAGCCCUUCGGGGUGAUUAAAGUGGCGCACGGGUGAGUAAUGAAUAGGAACGUACCUUUAGGUGGGGAAUAACCACGGGAAACUGUGGCUAAUACCGCAUGAGAUCGUAAGAUGAAAGAGGGCCUAUACUUGUAUGCUCUCGCCUAUAGAUCGGCCUAUUUUCCAUUAGCUUGUUGGUAGGGUAAAAGCCUACCAAGGCGACGAUGGAUAGCUGUUCUUAGAGGAAGAUCAGCCACACUGGAACUGAGAUACGGUCCAGACUCCUACGGGAGGCAGCAGUGGGGAAUCUUGCACAAUGGACGCAAGUCUGAUGCAGCGAUGCCGCGUGAGUGAAGAAGGCUCUUGGGUCGUAAAGCUCUUUUAAGAGGGAAGAAAAGGUUGUUUAUUAAUACUAGACAGCAUUGACGGUACCUUUAGAAUAAGCACCGGCUAAUUCCGUGCCAGCAGCCGCGGUAAUACGGAAGGUGCAAGCGUUAUUCGGAAUAACUGGGCGUAAAGCGCACGUAGACGGGUUCAUAAGUCGGAUGUGAAAUCCCCAAGCUUAACUUGGGAACUGCAUUCGAAACUGUAGAUCUUGAAUGCUUCAGAGGUUGGUGAAAUUUCAGGUGUAGGAGUGAAAUCCGUAGAUAUCUGAAGGAACACCGGUGGCGAAGGCGGCCAACUGGGGAUGCAUUGACGUUGAGGUGCGAAAGCGUGGGGAGCAAACAGGAUUAGAUACCCUGGUAGUCCACGCUGUAAACGAUGGAUACUAGGUAUUUGGGAUAUUAACCUCCUGAGUACUGGAGCUAACGCAUUAAGUAUCCCGCCUGGGGAGUACGGUCGCAAGGCUAAAACUCAAAGGAAUUGACGGGGGCCCGCACAAGCGGUGGAGUAUGUGGUUUAAUUCGAAGCAACGCGCAGAACCUUACCUACCCUUAACAUUCAGCGACCGCUACAGAGAUGUAGUUUUCUCUUCGGAGACGCUGGGAUAGGUGCUGCAUGGCUGUCGUCAGCUCGUGUCGUAAGAUGUUUGGUUAAGUCCACUAACGAGCGCAACCCUUGUCCUUAGUUACCAUCAUUAAGUUGGGGACUCUAAGGAGACUGCCGGUGUUAAACCGGAGGAAGGCGGGGACGACGUCAAGUCCUCAUGGCCCUUAUGGGUAGGGCUACACACGUACUACAAUGGUAGAAACAAACCGUCGCGAAACUGUGAAGUUAAGCUAAUCGGUAAAACACUACCUCAGUUCGGAUUGAAGUCUGCAACUCGACUUCAUGAAGGUGGAAUCGCUAGUAAUCGCUGAUCAGCAAGCAGCGGUGAAUACGUUCCCGGGCCUUGUACACACCGCCCGUCACACCACGAAAAUCGUCAAGACCAGAAGUGGAUUGGUUAACCCUCACGGGAGGCCUGCUACCAAGGUUUUGGUGGUGAUUGGGGUG